GUGCGAACGUGACGUCCGCGACGCAGUGAAGACUUCCGGCGCGCCGCGUCACGUGUUCCGCACCGGAAGCGCACUUCCAGUCACCCCGGCAACAGCCGCCCCCCUCCGGUCCCCCACUCCCCCUCUGUCUCCAAGAAAAAUUUGACCCCUGCUCGGCCACCGCCCAAGAUCUGCAAGCUGCGAGCCCACGAGCCCCACCAGCCCAUUAGGAGAAAAGUUACUGUUCAGUCCGUGAAGGCUUGUGCCAUGAAAGAGUAGGAGACAUUCCCAGGGAGUUUCGGCACCCAUUUGGAUUUUCACAAUCAGAGAUGGCAGCGAUGAAGGCAUCAACGUUGAAAGCUACCAGGCCUUGGUAUUCUCAUCC
RNA transcript from Cebus imitator (Panamanian white-faced capuchin), 364 nucleotides. RefSeq lists it as uncharacterized. Lineage: Eukaryota; Metazoa; Chordata; Mammalia; Primates; Cebidae. The record is from RefSeq and is a predicted model, not a curated record. The transcript has 4 exons.